AGGAGGUACAACCGCAGUGGUGGCGGUCAGCUCUGGAGCCCUGGAGUAGCUCCCGCAGUAUCUCCAGAGCUCUCAGUCUGCAGGGCUUGGUGGCUCCGGGGGUGG
RNAcentral lists this microRNA precursor (105 nucleotides) under Canis lupus familiaris (dog). Its description in RNAcentral is "mir-8834 microRNA precursor family". It matches the Rfam family "mir-8834 microRNA precursor family". The record is from Rfam by way of RNAcentral. RNAcentral also lists the same sequence under 1 other name. Lineage: Eukaryota; Metazoa; Chordata; Mammalia; Carnivora; Canidae.